GGGAUGCUACCAAAAAGACAUACAUUUAACAAAGAAGGAGAAAUUUCGACAGCAACUCCUCUAAAACAUAAGCAUUACGGAAGCAUCAAAAAUAAGUAUAGCAUUGCAAGUAGCCAUCCACAAAAAAACAAGGAGAAAGGAACAUUCAGGGAUGAAAUAAACUAAUUUCAACUCCCAGAUUCAUCUAGUGCAACUUAACAAGGGUACAAUUCCUUUUUUACAAAAAUCAUGACAACUUUAAAGAUUAAGGUGGCAGUGUGGAAUGCCGUUGUGCUUCUACUCCCGUUUCCCCCAAGCGAGCAUGUCACUUUAAGCACCUGAAAACACUGUAGGGGUGUGAGAAUAAAUCUCAGCAAGAGAAUUGUUUUAUCAAGUUAUUUAACCUACCAAAACAUUAAAUUAUAUUUAUAAGAAAACAAGGGAACAUAACAUUAAAUAUAAAGGCAAACAUCUAGUGUUCAUAGGUUCAAGAGUAAGGAGGAUAAACCACAUCUGCAAAGACUUCAUGAGAAAGAAGCCCUCUCAUGAACUCAAUAGAGUAUAUAACUUCCAUACCCCAAAAUGCCAAAGUGCAAUGCGAUGCAAAUGCAAUGAUAUUCCUACCUUCACACCCAGGUGUGAAGCUGCAUCGUGUUAUGACAAUACACGAUGCUGUACCGGUACGGUCGUGACCAUAGGUUCACGACAUAACUUCGAAUGAAAUGCAUAUGAAAUGCAAUGCAAUACAAUAAUAGAGGAAAUAUAACACGGCCAUAAAUCCUUCCAAUGAUAUCACAUAUAAUAAUUACUCUCACUAAAAGCAUACCACAUUAACCAUAGUUAGCCGAGCGGAGAGAGCUCAAAGCAAGAUACAUAAAAUAAUCAUUUGCACAUAUGGAAUUAUAGUGAUUGUAGGUAUUAAAGUGUCAAGGUGGAGGUUGGAAAAAAAACAUGAUAAAACCGUAGCAAACCACAGCUACAUUCACUUGCCUCCAAUGAAGGGUUGGUAUCAUACACGAUCUGAAGGACCACCACCUAAUCACAAACAAAGCCUCAGCAAACACACUCAAAUAUGCAUAUAAAACAGUAAAUAACAUGCAUCUACGGCCUCAACACCUCAAAAUGCAAAAACAAGGAAUGCCGCUUGGACUAUAAACAGUACUGUUGCUUCAAACCUUUAUAUCUCGAAAUAUAAAAAUGAUAUGACUGCAAAUAAAUACAUUUUGGAAAUCUACAGAAUGAGACCUAGAACUUUCGUGUAGAACCCAUAUUUUUAUUCUGCCAUUUAGACGGCCUAAAGCGCAAAUCAAUACAAGCUUCAGAAUCUGCCCAAGAAUUCAGACUGCCACACUUAAAAACAGCCAUAUAUGGAGUUCUACUUGCCCAAUCAAAGUGUACUUUAUCAAUAUGGAAAGCUAAGGAAAAACUCUACAACUUCCUAGUUAUAAACUUUCGCAGCAAAAAUCAUUUUGAUCCUCUAAUUAGCGAAAUACAGAGACAAAGCAAAGCUGACAGCGCCCAGAAACACUAAUCCAAAACACAACACCUAAUCCCAUCCUCUAACCCUCCAAUAACGACGAAUUACAACCCUAAAACAACCUACAACCUCUGCACAGGAGAGUUAAGCCUCACCUAGGGUUUGGAGAACUUGAGAGUAUGAUGGGAAAACCAACCCACCACUCUUCCUACUCGUCUCCUCUUCCUCGAUCCGUUUUUCCAAUCAGAUUCUUGAUUAGGGCUAUGGUUCUUGGAGAUCCAUGGAGUAGGGUUAACAGGAGAGAAAGGAACACGUGAGUUCCAUAGGUGCUGAGGGGGAGGUGUGGCGGCGUCGGCUGGGAAGGUGGGAGUCGCCUCUCCCUAGGGUAUUUGGUGGGGGAGGUGGGCUGGACUAGUGCG
Molecule: long non-coding RNA, 1875 nt
Filed under: Oryza sativa (Asian cultivated rice)
Lineage: Eukaryota; Viridiplantae; Streptophyta; Magnoliopsida; Poales; Poaceae
Description: long non-coding RNA (OSAT_LNC001493)
Source: RNAcentral